AGGGGAGAGUGGGGAGACUUGAUCCCCUUUUUUUGUAUCGCACAUAACUCUGUCAAUUUCUCACAAAACUAUGAUCUUUUUGCAUGAAUUGAAAGCUUAAACAUUCAACUAUGUUUGGCUGAUAAGGGUAUUUCAUCAGAUAAACUCUUCGAAUCAUGCCAAGCGUUUUAAAAAAAUAUUUUAAACCGGCAUUUUCAAAAUGUUGGGGGUAAUUUGAUCCCCCUUUCAACAUUUUGAAGAAAUCUUAAGGAAAAUGUUUUUUAUUCAUCCAAACUUUUAAUUUUCUAUAAGUUACAGCAAUUUUACAUUAAACCUGUACGUUUGUGUUCAAAAUAUAACAAGUUUAGAAUGCCAAAAAAUUAAAAACUUAAAAUUUUCUUUUUUAGACCAAAAUUGAGCAUGUUUACAAAAGCUGGUAAUUUUUGUUUACAAAACUUUUGAAAAAUGGUUCAAACUGCAGGAAGUUAUGCACAACUAUACUAAAGGAAACUAUGUACGAAAACCCAGCCAAUUACUUGAUCUUGAGGCUGAUUCCAGUGACUGUAAAAAUGCAGGGAUCAAGUCUCCCUAAACGCACUUUUUUAAACAAUUGAUUGUAAAAAUAGUAUGACGAUAAAUUUAACGUCAAAUACGUAAGGGUUUUGGAGUUGAUAUGUUUAUCAAACAAUUCAUGUAUAAACAAUAUUUUUUGAAUAAUUUUUGAGUGUUUUCUAUACUUAUCAAAACAAAGAAAAAAGAUCUCUUGGAAGUUUUUUGGAGCACUUUUUAGAAAAAUGUGUGUAACUCUAUCUAAAAUUUUUUGAAUUUUUUUCUUUGUUUUCUACAAUGAGUUUUAGUCAAUUUCGCACAACUUUCUAGAACAAAGCUAAUUGUUUUACCCACAUGCUGACGAGAUACAGGCUUGGGAUCAAGUGUCCCCGGGGAUCAAGUCUCCCCACUCUCCCCUACUUGUCUAUAACAAACGGUCCAACGUGGAUAGUUCGCCAUACUUCAGAACCACUUCAACGGAAACAACGGUGGAACCAACCUCCCGGGGCAUCAGCUGCAGAGUUCGAACCGAAAACGGCCUUGCUUUGUGCCACUUCUUUUUCCGAGCAGAAUGUGAAAGUUAGUGGUGUCAAAAGCCGCGACGUCGUGUCUCACAUGAUUCUUCCGCUCUGAUAAUGGUUCCGUGACAGUAAUCAUCACACCAACAAAAUCCCGGUUAACAUGAGUGUCCGUCCACGGUAGUGACGAGAAGGACACAAGCAAUGCGUCGACAGUAAGGAUGCCGGAAGUUGAUCCGGUUGACGUGGACAUUCGCAAGCUGCACGAUCGUUAGAUGAGGCCAGGUGGAAGUUCCGGAUCGGCACCGCCUCCUUCGGACGGUUCAUUUUGUCGGGACCGAUGAACGACGAUUGGAACAAUCGUAGAAUGCGAAAUAACAGUGGCGUCGGAGGCGGAUACAACAGUAUCCCCCCGAGCUUCGUCUCGGACGGCUACGGUGGCGGUACGAAUCAUCUUCAAUCUCAACGCAGUCUGGUGGUAGAUAUCGUGACCCCUACGGAGAAGGCGAUCGUGGACAAAUGCAACCUCCAAGGUUGGCCAACCAGCAACAGCGAGACCAGCACCGGGAUCACGACGACCACCGGCGGGAGAUUGUCGUUCAGCGACCUUUCAUCCAGGACGAGGAGCUGCAGCGCAUCGAGGCUAUCAUCAAAGUAAUGGGCUUGGCCAAGGACGACGAGUUUGACUGCAACCAGAAGCCGCCACCAACUAAAGCAACAACAACAAGCAAUGUGAACGCGAACGCCAAGAGCGUGAAUCGGCCGUCCGUCAACAGCAGCCGCCCUCGCAAUAGAAUGGCCACGUCAGCAUCGGAGGUAGGCCAAGGAACGUCUCAAGUUGCGUCGCCAAGAGGACCAGCGAAUGAAGAUGGAACGCAAGCAGGCCGCGGCCACGAAGCUGCAGGAACUGGAUCAGCAGCUGAAGAGUAAAAAGUGUGAAGACGGAAGACCGGGGUCCAAUACUACAUCAAAAUCCGGCCCACGUUCCUAGAAAUUCUCACCCCAAUCGUAAUCCGGAAUUGCCACGCGUGACGGCCAUGGCCUUGCAGGUGCCCUCGAAACGACGCAGCAGACGCAGCGCAGCACAAGUGCUCGCAAACGAUGGAUGUAAUGCUGCACGAACGAACCUUCCCUCUGCUGCUCUCCGGAAAUGCUACUCGGGACGACCAUGACCUUCUCAAAAACCUUUCUUUUGGGUGAGGAAAUGACCCCAGCCGGCUUCACUACAAGCGCUUCAAUACCGUAAUUGGCAAAUUGCACGAAACAGCCUCGAUGGUUGGUCAUGGCCCGGCAUGUGCGCUCGGAACGACGGAUUAAAUGCUGCACUAUGGUGCUAGGUCAAGAUCACCGGAACCGUUCCACGUUCCUUGCCAAUUCCUUUAAAAAUUUUGGUUCAUGCAAUCCGAAAUUGCCACGCGGAACGGCCAUGGCUCCAGAAGUUCCCUCGAUAGACGCAUCAUGGAACAGGCUCGCAGGCUUGUCGCCACCGGAAAGAGUCAGCUCCGAACACGCUGGCCGGACGUCCGUCGCCCUACACAUGCCCUUGGGACGACGGAUUAAAUGCUGAACCGGUUCACGUUCCCGGCCUAUCCGUUUUUAUAAAUUAGGUUCUUGCAAUCCGGAACCGCCACACGCAACGGUCAUGGCCGCCGGACGCUGGCCAACCUGUAAGAGCUCUCGGAACAACACUACACGGUCUCGAAACGUAAUGCGCGGAAGUGACUCAAUGACGGUCAUGGCCUUAAAAGGUGGUGUAGCAGGAUCGUCAUCGUCAACCAAGGCAUCUGAGCAUCACAACAUGUUAAACAGCGCGGAAUAGCAACCGGAUUUGAACGGAGCCUGGGGACAUUCUUAGGCUGUGUAACCCGUCAGGGGCUGGUACGUCGACACAGCAGAGGCGAUCCACGACCUGGCCUUUCGCGAGAAAAAUCCGUGGCAGAAAUGCAGCGCCAACAUAAACCACAGCAGGAGUAGAACAGAGUGGCCAUCGUAACCACAUUAAUCGCCAAAAUUUCGUCGCCUGAGACGUCCAAAUUGGCUUCUACCAGUUCACUGCAAAAACAGCACGAGCACAACCAGGGCCAAGCCAAAGAUUCCGCCAUUGGGAGGCAGGUUUCCGGACUUCUCAAUGUCAGAGAGAAGCGCAGAAGCGACGACAUGUUUUGGCCAAUCUGCUAAACGACUGAUACCUUCCUGCCGAGCCGAGGAAGUCCUAGAUAACCACCAAACGGGCCACUCUCUGAAACGCGACUCUCUAAACAAUUGCACGUCGACAGAACCGACCCGGCGGGUGGGUAACAAUGCGAUCAAGAAUCCGGAACCGUUGGUUGCAUACCACCUAGUGAAUGCUGGCCAGCUUGGUGAUUCCGGUGAUCGCCGAACGUCGCGGCGUCAUAACAGUGUAGCUGCGGAAGAUGAUUCCGUGACGGCGGACAUCUAUGUUAGUCGAGGAUGAUGAGGACAUGGACAGCGCAAUCACUCCUAGUUGAACUCGCCGGUUCCGGUUGAUCCAUGUGCACUCUACCGUGCACCCGGACUAAACGCCAGAAAAGUUGAAAAAGCCUCGAUUCCGAAACGCGCUGAAGUUGUCAAUGGAGACCGGAACAUGGAGACACAAUUUGGAACGACGAUGUUUCCCAUCGUCGCCCCAUCCACCACCAUCUCUUCAACGCCAGCAGUCCUGCCUAGAUGACUCCGACCAUUUGAAGAACCGUAACACCGGCCAGCCUCAACUCCUGCCGCAAGCCAGACACCCUCGAUGCACGACUUGGCUGUUCUAAAGUACUAAAGAUGCAGUUCACCGGCUCAGCAAGCUGCUCAACUGCAAAGCGUUCAUGCUCCGGUCUAUUCCAAGGGCGUCCCUCACCGGUUCCAAGGGCGAGAACGACGACGGUGGGACGAUAACUAGCAGCAUAAAGAAUGGAGAUCGCUUUUUGUAGUGACUUUGGGCUGGUCUGCAAUCAACCCUAAACCUGGACAUCUGCCCAGUCCUUGGCCUGUUAAGCUCCCCUUUGAGUUGGGCGAGUUCAAGAAAAAGUUCAUCGGAACGCACGGGAACAAGCGAGGGAACAAGGAGGAGACUGUAACACUUGGGGCCGCUCAAAUCGUGGGUGGCCAAUCGGAACUCGGACGGAUUGAAAUCAUCCGCCAUCAUUUACCAGCAACCUCCAAGGCGAGACCGGCGAGUUUCUUCGUCGGCGGCGGAGAGAUGGAACACAAGCAGGCCGCGGCCAGGAUCGAGGUUCUAGAAGCUUAAACUAGUGCGAAAUCCUUCCGGAAACAGUCUGCAGGGAAGUCAACCGCAGGGUAGUGGUUGCGGUGGUCGAGUUCAAACCAAUAGCACCGCCAGCAACCAUCGUCGACGCUUUCGGAGAGCGAGCCUAAACAGAUUCUUGGGCGGAUCUAGGAAAUUUCGGACAAGCUGGAGUCAUCCAAGGUGGUGGAGCCAAAAGUCAGCGAACCUGAGGAGCUACUGUCGAGGCCUUGGGAAGAUGUGGUAGAAGCUGCGGAGGAAUCGAGCUAGUCACUUGACGUGUGCGCAACCUCGUUGGGCCAGAUGACGACAAAAAGGGCGAUUCCGGAUCGGAUGCUGGCAAGAACGACAGUGGUCGUGUGUCUGCGGCCCGUUCAGAUGCACUCGAUUGAGCUCAUGAACAAGGAUCCCAACGCGCGGUACGAACAAAGCCCGGAAGAAUCUCCGGAACCGUGUCCUCGAAGUUUUUCCCCCAAGAUUCCCCGACGAUGUUUCUAGAACUUUGCUCUAGUUGCUAUUCGGGAUUGUCACUUGGUACGGCAGUGACGACCUCAAGGUUCCUUCGGAAAGUUCAAACUUGCCGGGAGGUCGCCAACCUGCAAGUGCUCUCGAAACGACGCUGGACGAAAAAGGCUCGAUGUACAAUCAUUACCCUGCAAGUUCCCUCGUCACGUCGCUCUAUGGAUUAGGCUCGGAACGCGCAUGGCAACAAUUGGACAACUCCGAUCCUGGACCCUGACGGAAGCCGCUGCCUGACCUGUGCCUGACGAUCACAUAUACGAUUGCCGAUAUAAUCCGGAACAGGUACGCAGGACGACCAUGGCAUUGCCAGCGACCUUGGAACGACGACAGCUCACAAGUUCCUUCGGAGCGACGAGUGGGACGCCAGGUCCAGAGCAAAAGAACAUUCCAGGAGCUCGCCCUCCCUUCAAGCGCAUUCCGAAACUGUCACGCCGGAAGGCCACCUCCUUGCAGAUAACUUUUGUACGAAGCACCACGGAACAGGAUUGACGGACUUCUGUCGCGAUGCAAGUGCCCUUGGAACAGCCGCUGGACGAACGCGUCCAACUCCAAUUCAACCGAAGCCAUUUCCUUCGCCCAGAGCAUUCUUUAUUUGUACACUGUUUUUUUUUCGGAAAAUCGUGCCUAAGUUGGUGAUGCGGAGCAGCAAAAUAAAUGAAUUAAAACCUGAAAAUAACUGUUUCAAUCAAAACAAACCCAAUGACAGAUGACAGAAAAAGAAGAAGAAGAGCACUAAAAAGGGGUUGAUGCGCGUCCGAUUUUUCACCCUUACGUCGUUCUUACAUCGGCCACGCACGUAGGCCUCUUGCGAUGUUCGAACAACCUUGACAGGUUGACGUUUCGGGUGCAAAAUACCUUGAUUCGGGUCUGAUGCGUGUCUCAAAAUCAGACCCGCAUCGGCCCCUGUAGGUCUGAUCGUCGUUCUUACGAUCAGACCCGAUCGGCCCCGUAUUUCUUACUGGGAAGGGCAGUUAAGACAGAACGGCCGCAAUUAUAGUAUGACGGUCAAUACAGAAGGACAAUCAAGUCAAAAAAGCAGUCAGGGCAGAAGCGCAGACAAUACUGAAGGCAGUCAAUACAAAAGGGCAGUCAAGACAGGAAGGCAGUUAAAUCAGAAGGGCAUUAAAACCGAUGGGCAGUAUAAACCCAAUGGCAAUAAGAACAGAAGAGCAGCCAAGAAAGAAGGGCAAUCAAGACAAAAAAGGCAGUCAAGUCAGUAGGGUAGGAUAAUUGUCAAGACGGAAAGGUAAUUACGACUGAAGGGCAGUCAAGACAAAUUAGUUAAGAUGUAGACUGCCAUUUUCAUCGAAGUUGAGUUAUUGAUGCAGAUUGGUUCAAAAUCGUAUGCUCUUUCAAACAAGCCUAUAACAUCCAGUAACUUUUAAUAAAAAUCAGGAGGAAAUCCAGUUUUUUCGCGAAAACUUAACACGUAGCCUUAUGUGUGGGACAAACUUCAAAUGCAUUUUUCUCAGCUUGUUGUUUUUGCAUAUGGGACAUUUAUACGAACAUGGGCAGUAGAGAGCAGUUAAAAUAGCUAGACAAUCAAGAAACAAGAGCCGUCAAAUCAGAAGGGAAGUCAAGACAGAAAAUCUGUCGAGACAGUAGGGCAUUCAAAACAAAAGGGCAGUUAAUAUAGAGAGGCAGUCAAUACAGUAGGGCGGUCAAUAAGAAAGUCAGUAACGCAGAAGCGUAGUUAAUACAGAAGGGAAAUCAAGUUUGAAGGACAGUCAAUACAGAAGGUAGUCAACAAAGAAGGGCAGUCAAGAAAGCAGAGCAGUUAGCAAAGAAGAGCAAACAAGAAAGAAUGGCAGUUAACGCAGAAAAGCAAUCAAUACAGAAGGGUAGUCAAGACAGAAGGGCAGCCAAGAAAAAGGGCAGUCAAGACAGAAGGACAGUCAACGCAGAAGUCUAGACAGAAAGGUAGUCAAGAACAAGGGCAGUCAAAACAAAAAAAACAGUCAAGACAGAAGGGUAAUUUAGAAGAAAAAAAGUUUAGUUGAGAGAGCAGGGCAGUUGAGACAGAAGGGCAGUAAAGACCGAGGGACAGUCAAGACAAAAUAAGACAGCCAAAUCAGAGGGGUAGUUUGGUCCGAUGAGUCACAAUUUCGACCAGUUCAACCAAUUAAAUUUUCUCACAACCAGGUCGACACCCUGCUCGAUCCUAGUCCAUUUGAGCCAUUGUCAUCAUCAACGGCAGUGAGAUAUCGAUUGAAGAGAGGCGGACAGUUUUGCCUGAUGCCGUUCGACCCAUCUACGGGAAGGAAACAACGGGGACGACAAUCGAAGAACGUUUCGCUGAGCUGCCGCUGGCAGC
Long non-coding RNA from Culex pipiens pallens (northern house mosquito), 7135 nucleotides. RefSeq lists it as uncharacterized. The record is from RefSeq and is a predicted model, not a curated record. NCBI's taxonomy places the organism in Eukaryota, Metazoa, Arthropoda, Insecta, Diptera, Culicidae. The transcript has 8 exons.